UAGGGAAUCUUCGGCAAUGGACGAAAGUCUGACCGAGCAACGCCGCGUGAGUGAAGAAGGUUUUCGGAUCGUAAAACUCUGUUGUUAGAGAAGAACAAGGACGUUAGUAACUGAACGUCCCCUGACGGUAUCUAACCAGAAAGCCACGGCUAACUACGUGCCAGCAGCCGCGGUAAUACGUAGGUGGCAAGCGUUGUCCGGAUUUAUUGGGCGUAAAGCGAGCGCAGGCGGUUUCUUAAGUCUGAUGUGAAAGCCCCCGGCUCAACCGGUGAGGGUCAUUUGAAACUGGGAGACUUGAGUGCAGAAGAGGAGAGUGGAAUUCCAUGUGUAGCGGUGAAAUGCGUAGAUAUAUGGAGGAACACCAGUGGCGAAGGGGGCUCUCUGGUCUGUAACUGACGCUGAGGCUCGAAAGCGUGGGGAGCAAACAGG
Molecule: ribosomal RNA, 429 nt
Filed under: Gemmatimonadota bacterium
Lineage: Bacteria; Pseudomonadati; Gemmatimonadota
Description: Gemmatimonadetes bacterium partial 16S ribosomal RNA
Rfam family: Bacterial small subunit ribosomal RNA
Source: RNAcentral